GACGAACGCUGGCGGCGUGCUUAACACAUGCAAGUCGAACGGAAAGGCCCUGCUUUUGUGGGGUGCUCGAGUGGCGAACGGGUGAGUAACACGUGAGUAACCUGCCCUUGACUUUGGGAUAACUUCAGGAAACUGGGGCUAAUACCGGAUAGGAGCUCCUGCUGCAUGGUGGGGGUUGGAAAGUUUCGGCGGUUGGGGAUGGACUCGCGGCUUAUCAGCUUGUUGGUGGGGUAGUGGCUUACCAAGGCUUUGAAGGGUAGCCGGCCUGAGAGGGUGACCGGCCACAUGGGGACUGAGAUACGGCCCAGACUCCUACGGGAGGCAGAAGUGGGGAAUAUUGCACAAUGGGCGGAAGCCUGAGGCAGCAACGCCGCGUGCGGGAUGACGGCCUUCGGGUUGUAAACCGCUUUCGCCUGUGACGAAGCGUGAGUGACGGUAAUGGGUAAAGAAGCACCGGCUAACUACGUG
This 468-nucleotide ribosomal RNA is filed under the name uncultured bacterium. RNAcentral describes it as "partial 16S ribosomal RNA". It matches the Rfam family "Bacterial small subunit ribosomal RNA", at positions 28 to 507 of the family's 1533-position model. The record is from RNAcentral.